This 327-nucleotide ribosomal RNA is filed under the name uncultured eukaryote. Its description in RNAcentral is "partial 18S ribosomal RNA". It matches the Rfam family "Eukaryotic small subunit ribosomal RNA", at positions 1470 to 1796 of the family's 1831-position model. The record is from RNAcentral.
CCCUUAGAUGUUCUGGGCCGCACGCGCGCUACACUGAUGCAUUCAACGAGUUUCUUCCUGGUCCGAGAGGAAUGGGUAACCUUUUGAAAGUGCAUCGUGAUAGGGAUAGACUAUUGCAAUUAUUGGUCUUCAACGAGGAAUUCCUAGUAGACGUAGUUCAUCAGACUGCAUCGAUUACGUCCCUGCCCUUUGUACACACCACCCGUCGCACCUACCGAUUGGAUGGUCCGGUGAAGCCUCGGGAUUGUGGUUCUUGCCGCUUUAUUGUGGCGUGACCGCGAGAACUUGUCUAAACCUUAUCAUCUAGAGGAAGGUGAAGUCGUAACA